AGGAAAGCAGGGGAUCGCAAGACUUGCGCUUUUGGAGCGGCCGAUGUCUGAUUAGCUAGUUGGUGAGGUAAAGGCUUACCAAGGCGUCGAUCAGUAGCUGGUCUGAGAGGACGACCAGCCACACUGGGACUGAGACACGGCCCAGACUCCUACGGGAGGCAGCAGUGGGGAAUUUUGGACAAUGGGGGAAACCCUGAUCCAGCCAUGCCGCGUGAGUGAAGAAGGCCUUCGGGUUGUAAAGCUCUUUCAGCCGGAACGAAACGGUCACAGCUAAUACCUGUGACUACUGACGGUACCGGAAGAAGAAGCACCGGCUAACUACGUGCCAGCAGCCGCGGUAAUACGUAGGGUGCGAGCGUUAAUCGGAAUUACUGGGCGUAAAGCGUGCGCAGGCGGUUUUGUAAGUCAGAUGUGAAAUCCCCGGGCUUAACCUGGGAACUGCGUNUGAAACUACAAGGCU
This 460-nucleotide ribosomal RNA is filed under the name uncultured beta proteobacterium. RNAcentral describes it as "bacterial SSU rRNA". It matches the Rfam family "Bacterial small subunit ribosomal RNA", at positions 190 to 642 of the family's 1533-position model. Lineage: Bacteria; Pseudomonadati; Pseudomonadota; Betaproteobacteria. The record is from RNAcentral.